RNAcentral lists this ribosomal RNA (443 nucleotides) under uncultured bacterium. Its description in RNAcentral is "partial 16S ribosomal RNA". It matches the Rfam family "Bacterial small subunit ribosomal RNA", at positions 338 to 795 of the family's 1533-position model. The record is from RNAcentral.
CCUACGGGAGGCAGCAGUGGGGAAUAUUGGGCAAUGGGCGCAAGCCUGACCCAGCAACGCCGCGUGAAGGAAGAAGGCUUUCGGGUUGUAAACUUCUUUUCUGAGGGACGAAGAAAGUGACGUUACCUCAGGAAUAAGCCAGGGCUAACUCCGUGCCAGCAGCCGCGGUAAUACGUAGGUGGCAAGCGUUAUCCGGAUUUAUUGGGUGUAAAGGGCGUGUAGACGGGCAGACAAGUCCGAUGUGAAAUCCGAGGGCUCAACCCCGAGACUGCAUUUGAAACUGUUUUUCUUGAGUGCUGGAGAGGCAAGCGGAAUUCCGUGUGUAGCGGUGAAAUGCGUAGAUAUACGGAGGAACACCAGUGGCGAAGGCGGAUUGCUGGACGGUAACUGACGGUGAGGCGCGAAAGCGUGGGGAGCAAACAGGAUUAGAUACCCGAGUAGUC